UCCAGACUCCUACGGGAGGCAGCAGUCGGGAAUAUUGCACAAUGGAGGAAACUCUGAUGCAGUGACGCCGCGUGCAGGAAGAAGGUUUUAGGAUUGUAAACUGCUUUAGACAGGGAAGAAAAAAGACAGUACCUGUAGAAUAAGCUCCGGCUAACUACGUGCCAGCAGCCGCGGUAAUACGUAGGGAGCAAGCGUUGUCCGGAAUUACUGGGCGUAAAGGGCGCGUAGGUGGGUGCUUAAGUCAGGUGUGAAAACUCUGGGCUCAACCUGGAGACUGCACUUGAAACUGGGUAUCUUGAGGGCAGGAGAGGAAAGUGGAAUUCCUAGUGUAGCGGUGAAAUGCGUAGAUAUUAGGAGGAACACCAGUGGCGAAGGCGACUUUCUGGACUGUACCUGACGCUGAGGCGCGAAAGCGUGGGUAGCGAACGGGAUUAGAUACCCGUGUAGC
RNAcentral lists this ribosomal RNA (448 nucleotides) under uncultured bacterium. RNAcentral's name for it is "bacterial SSU rRNA". It matches the Rfam family "Bacterial small subunit ribosomal RNA", at positions 330 to 794 of the family's 1533-position model. The record is from RNAcentral.